CUCUCUCUCUCUCUCCCUCUCACCCCCUCUCUCUCUCUUCCUCUCUCCUCUCUGUCUCUCCUUUUGCCAUCUACAUGAUCCUUGAUUAAACAUGGAACAGAGUUAAUAAAAGGGGGGGAGGACUCAAGGAGAGGAAAUGCAACUGUCAGAAAUCGGGACGGCCAGAUUUCCUGGUGAACCUGCCUCUGUCUGAGUCAGUGUCAAUCCACCAUCUUCUGCCAGUGAACUUGUCUUUGGGUUUUUGUUUGGUGUGUGUGUGUGUGGGGGGUAAGAUGUUGUGUGUAUGUGUGUGUGUGUGUGCUUUUUUGGAAGUGGGGAGGGGAAGACAAUGUGAGGGCUGGAGGUGGGGGGAGAGUAGGGAGAAUGUGUGUGUGUCUGUGAGUGUGUGUUGAGUGUGAGUGUGUCUCUGUGUGUGUAGGGGUCGAGGUGGGGGGGGGUCCGUGUUUGCGAUCUGAACCUUUGGUACCUACAAGGAGGGUGUCUCACCGAACGGUAGCUAAAACCUCAACAGAACCGCGCGGAAGUGAGAAGUCGCGGCCAAAGGCGCCCGCCGAAACCUCCUCUCUGGGCCGGACCCCAGCCGGAGCGGCCGAAAGGAGCCCCCCGCCCGGAUCACAGAACUUUACAAGGAAAGGGGAAAUGUUGGAAAUGGAGAUGCACAACCUUGUCUUGAAGCAGAAGACUCAGCUAGAGCACAUCUGGACAUGCCUGGCAUUCCUCAAUAUAAUUCAAAUGAUAUUUUAAAAAGUCCUGCAGAAAAGAAGAUGCUGGCUGGCUGGCUGAUAAUGUUAAGUUGGAACAUCUUGGUGUAUCCAGAUCGUCCUGGGAGUGUCUCUAGGGGCAGGCUGCAGAGCUCCAACCUUCUUCCUGGACCAUGCAACAGAAGCAGAUUUAAGGAUGGCCCCAGACUGAGAGAGAUGGAGACAGAGAUAGAGAUAGAGAAGCUACAUAAUAUGACCAACAUAGAACCUAACUGUGGUAUUCUCCAGCAUUGCUCAGCCUUUCCUUCUCUGGACGUGACAACAUUACUAAGAAAGGAAGAGAAAAAGAUCUGCUUUCAGGGAGGUUCCAUCACUGGGGAGAGCCCCUAAUGGAAGUCCUUGCUUUGGUUACAUGGCAUAUGUUUAAUAAAUAAAAAGAUGCUCAUCUGGACUCCUGUACCAGUUAUCAUGUACUAAAUAAGGUUACCUAUUUCACUCUCCAUGUAGAAGCAUCUUUCAUAAACAUGUGACACAGAAGAUUUUACAAGUAUCAUUAUUGGCUGUGUUGAUUUUUUUUUGUUCUAUUUUAUCAGAUCUGUAGUCUUACAUUCAAUGAGGAAGCAUUUUCUCAGGUUCUCAAGAAAGUAACAAAAUGCCAGCAUUG
Molecule: long non-coding RNA, 1365 nt
Organism: Callithrix jacchus (white-tufted-ear marmoset)
Lineage: Eukaryota; Metazoa; Chordata; Mammalia; Primates; Cebidae
Source: RefSeq, a predicted model, not a curated record